RNAcentral lists this ribosomal RNA (800 nucleotides) under Styela canopus. RNAcentral's name for it is "SSU rRNA". It matches the Rfam family "Eukaryotic small subunit ribosomal RNA", at positions 444 to 1246 of the family's 1831-position model. The record is from RNAcentral. Lineage: Eukaryota; Metazoa; Chordata; Ascidiacea; Stolidobranchia; Styelidae.
CCCAUUCCCGACACGGGGAGGUAGUGACGAAAAAUAACAAUACAGGACUCUAACGAGGCCCUGUAAUUGGAAUGAGUACAUCCUAAAACUCUUAACGAGUAUCCAUUGGAGGGCAAGUCUGGUGCCAGCAGCCGCGGUAAUUCCAGCUCCAACAGUGUAUGCUAAAGUUGUUGCGGUUGAAAAGCUCGUAGUUGGAUUUUGGGCGGGCGCAGCCGGUCCGUCGCAAGGCGUGUCACUGGUUGCGUUCGCCUCACCUUCGGUUCUCCGCCGGUGCUCUUGACUGAGUGUCGGCGGUGGCCGAUAAGUUUACUUUGAAAAAAUUAGAGUGUUCAAAGCAGGCUGCCCGCCUGCAUAGUGUUGCAUGGAAUAAUGGAAUAGGACCUCGGUUCUAUUUUGUUGGUUUUCGGAGCACGAGGUAAUGAUUAAGAGGGACAGACGGGGGCGUCCGUACUCUGCCGUUAGAGGUGAAAUUCUUGGAUCGGCGGAAGACGAACUACUGCGAAAGCAUUCGCCAAGAAUGUUUUCUUUAAUCAAGAGCGAAAGUCAGAGGUUCGAAGACGAUCAGAUACCGUCCUAGUUCUGACUAUAAACGAUGCCAACUAGCGAUCGGGAGGCGUUACCAUGACGACCUUUCCGGCAGCUUCCGGGAAACCAAAGUCUUUGGGUUCCGGGGGAAGUAUGGUUGCAAAGCUGAAACUUAAAGGAAUUGACGGAAGGGCACCACCAGGAGUGGAGCCUGCGGCUUAAUUUGACUCAACACGGGGAAACUCACCCGGCCCGGACACAGGUAGGAUUGACAG